CCUACGGGUGGCAGCAGUGAGGAAUAUUGGUCAAUGGGCGCGAGCCUGAACCAGCCAAGUCGCGUGAGGGAAGACGGUCCUAUGGAUUGUAAACCACUUUUGUCGGGGAGCAAAAUGCGCCACGCGUGGCGUUCCGAGAGUACUCGAAGAAAAAGCAUCGGCUAACUCCGUGCCAGCAGCCGCGGUAAUACGGAGGAUGCGAGCGUUAUCCGGAUUUAUGGGGUUUAAAGGGUGCGUAGUCGGAAGGUAAAGUCAGCGGUAAAAUUGAGGGGCUCAACCUCAUCGAGCCGUUGAAACUGGUUUUCUUGAGUAAGUGAGAAGUAUGCGGAAUGCGUGGUGUAGCGGUGAAAUGCAUAGAUAUCACGCAGAACUCCGAUUGCGAAGGCAGCAUACCGGCGCUCAACUGACGCUCAUGCACGAAAGUGUGGGUAUCGAACAGGAUUAGAUACCCGAGUAGUC
This 459-nucleotide ribosomal RNA is filed under the name uncultured bacterium. RNAcentral's name for it is "partial 16S ribosomal RNA". It matches the Rfam family "Bacterial small subunit ribosomal RNA", at positions 338 to 795 of the family's 1533-position model. The record is from RNAcentral.